Molecule: long non-coding RNA, 4449 nt
Filed under: Sus scrofa (pig)
Lineage: Eukaryota; Metazoa; Chordata; Mammalia; Artiodactyla; Suidae
Description: lncRNA (ENSSSCG00030024231.1)
Source: RNAcentral
UUUUUUUUUUUUUUUUUUUUUUUUUUCUACAUUGUUUUCAAAGCUGGUGUUCAGUGGUCUGUCUAGUGGUCUUCUUUCUGGAAUAAAAAACGCUUCAUUAACCCCUUCCAUUCAUUGGGGGGUUUAUUUCUGUAGAAGAAUUCAAAGAUAUUGUUAUCCAUAGUCCUUGAAGAGGGACCAAGACCCUGCCCCCAAAGCUGCACUUUUGUUUCCUGAUUGUUCCCCUCCCUUCCCUGAUUAGCAACUGUUGGAACCUGACCUUUGGAACCCAGGGAAGAUCAUGGAGGCUGAAGUUUAUUCCAUAAACACAAGCAAUGGGGGACAUGGAAAGGCUUAUGUGCCCAGGAGCCCCAGAGGGCACUAGCUCAGUUACAGUAGGGGUGCUGCGCCACUGGGGUUCGGAGAGAUAGCUGGAGCUGGGGAGAAGUCUCCCAACAGAAGCUGUGGAUUUAGUUGGGGGCAGUGAUGGCCAUGCCUUGGGACCCACAGAGAGGCAGCUGGAGGAAUAAAUACCCCCAUCUGGUGUGCCUCCCACUCUCUGAUCUUCUGCCAGCAUCUUAAGCUGACCAAGAACAACCAGAAACAGUCAAGGAAGCCCGGGGCAACAGAGGUCAUCGCCUCUGGCUCUGGAGAAGGGAAAAGCAAGGAGAGAAAUGCUCAGGGUCAAAGAAGUGGAAAGUAUCCAGCACACAAUUAUUCGUGUGAAAAACAGGUGGGCGAGAAGAGGAGUUGUGUCUCUACUUAUUCAUGUGUAUGUCUGUAGAUGCAUAAUCAUUUUUGGAAUGAUAACACAAAAAGACACAGUAGAAACUUCUGAAAAGAAGUGACCUACUUUCCAUGGUGUAACUUUUUAUCUACUGUUUGAUUUUUAUCUUGUGCAUUUAUUAUAUAUUCAAACCAUCCCUCCAUCAAUCAUUAACAAGAAUUGUUGUUUUUGUGCCAAAUAUGGGCUUGGGAUGCAGCCAAUAGGGGCAUGCAGGUGAUCUAAGCUAGGCCAAUCAUAACACUCCCCUCCUGGCCACAGGGAUUGGUCAAAAGUUUGGCACAUGAUUCACACUCAACCAAUCAGAGCCUCCCUUGAGUUUUUCAUCCUAGAGCUGGGAGGGUGAGGUCCUUCUUUCCUGUGGUUGAGGCCUCAUCAGCAUGUGGGUCUAGAGAUGUCCGUGGUAAUAGUAGCUGACAGUUACAGGAUUUUUACAUUCUAUUGAAACCUGUGAGUUGCAGAUACACUGUUUUUUACCCUCAAAUGGCAGUUUCAUCUAGUUUAACGGAAUAUACACCAGGUCCUCAAGGAGAGGGGCCUAUGCAAGGCAGGUUCACCAUCACAGUGGGAAUUUUGCAGCCAAUUAGGAUUCUGCCUACUUUACCUACAUUAACUCAUUUAAUUUUCAAACAGCAUCUCAUAAAGUGGGUAUCAUUGUUAUUAACCUCAUACUAGGGCUGUGACGACUGAGGAAGAGAGGGACUGAGCGUUUCGUGGGGGAAUGCAGAGGCCUUGGUGCUCUCUUGCCUCCCCCUCUGCUGGGGCCCCCAUGUGGAGGGGCCUCCCUGCAGUGCAGGGGCUGCGGUGCAGAGGACAGGCAGAGCGGCAGCAUCCUGAGGGGUUAGGAUCCUAGCCCUAUGCCUCUCCAGGGGCGCACCACCUCAGCUGGGCUCUCAAUUGUAUUAUACUCACCAAUCAAGGCCCUGCAAGAUCAAGAGGAGUAUCUGGUAUUUGCAAUAGACUGGACUUUUAAAUCAGUUUCCCCAUGCAAUCAAUUGAACUGCAUCCCUCCAAAAACUAUGACCAUGUCUUUUUUCUUUUUUUUUUUUUUUUUUGUCUAUUAGGGUCGCACCCACAGCAUAUGGAAGGUCUCAGGCUAGGGGGUGAAUCGGAGCUGCAGCUGCCAGCCUACACCACAGCCAGAUCUGAGUUGCAUCUGCGAUCUACACCACAGCUCAUGGCAACACUGGAUCCUUAACCCACUGAACAAUGUAAGGGAUCAAACUCACAUCUUUAUGAGUAAUAGUUGGGUUCUUAACCUGAUGAGCUAUGAUGAGAACUCCAAUAUGUCCACGUGUUAACCCUGGAAGAUGUGAAUGUGGCUUUGUCUGGAAAUAGGGCCUUUGCACAUGUAAUUAAGAAUCUCAAGCUCAUCCCUGAUUUAGAGUGGGCCCUAAAUCCAAUGACUGGGGUUUUUAUGAGAAAGACAGAAGGACACUUGAGACCCAGACAUAGGGGAGGAGGCCAUGUGAAGAUGGAGGCAGAGACUGGAGUGAUGCUGCCAAAAGCCAAGGAUGCCUAAAACCUCUGGGAGCUGGAAGAGGCAGGAAGGGUCCUACCCGAGAGUCUUCAGAUGGAGCAUGGGCCCGUUGACUUAGACCUCUGGCCUCCAGAAAUGUGAGAGAGUAUAUCAUUGUUGCCUUAAGCCCCCCAGGUUGUGGUUAUUUGGUACCAGAGAUUUGGGAAAGUAAUACAACCCAUUACCUCUUUUCUUGCCAACUGUGUUCAGAGAGGGCAUCAGAAAUGGAGUCAAGCUCUGAGAUGGUCCAGAGUAAGAUCUGGAUUUGGUUUUCUGUUGAUCCCUGAGAAGAAAGCCCUUUAAGGGAGUUACCGUUGUAGCUCAGUGAUAAUGAAUCCCGCUAGUAUUCAUGAGAAUGUAAGUUCAAUCCAUGGCCUCAUUCAUUGGGUUAAGGAUCUGUCAUUGCCAUGAGCUGUAGUGUAGGUUGCAGAUGUGGCUUGGAUCCCACUUGCUGUGGCUGUGGUGUAGGCUGGCAGCUGCAGUUCUGAUUCCACCCCUAGCCUGGGAACUUCAAACAUGCUGCAGGUGUAGCCCUUUUUAAAGCGGGAGAAAAAAAAAAAAAAGUCCUUUAAAUAUUUCAGAGGUGGGGAGGGGACAUGGAGAGUGGAAGCUGAAGAAUAGUGAGAGAAUCUUGGCUCAUUUAGAAGAUCCGAGCAAUUUCUAGAAUGGGGCAUAGCUAGACUUGCUCGAGAUAAUUUUCUAAUUUUUAUAGACUUUCUAUGAGUCUCUGUGGUGGGCAGGAUUCUGAAUGGGCUCCAAAAUUCCACCCUUGGUCUGUACAUCCCAUAUAAUUUUGUGUCCUUGAGUGGGUAGACCUGAAAAUAAAAAGGGACAGUGACUCCCUUGGUUAUGUCAUAUUAUAUAAGAGGCAGAGGUAGCUGAACUAGAGCGAGAGGCUCCUGCUGGCUUUGAGAGCUAAGCUGUCAUCGUGAGUGAGCCAGGUGUUGAGGACCUGAGAGCGACCUACAGCUGACAGCCAACAAAGAACAGAGGACCUCAGUCUGCUGACCUCAAGGAACUGAAUUGUGUCAAUGACCCAGAUGGUUUGGAAGCAAGCCCGCACAUCAGAGGAGUGAGCAGCCUCAGCCCCCACCUGGACACGGUGCCUCUGCCAGCAAGAAAGCACAGCUGAAGGAAGCCUUGGUCCUAAUUGAGCAUAGGAAGUACACGGGCCUUUCAUCCACUGGUCAGAGAAUGCUUCUUCUCCCACAGGAGUGAAGACAGAAGGUAGAAUGAUCGUCAGUCUUGGAAAGAAUAUGCAAUGAACUGAAAAGAUGCAUUGAUGAUGGCAAUGAUGUUUUCAUAUAUUAGCCCCCUCCUGUCCUCACACAGGCAUGAGGAAGAUUAAUGCCCUGGAAAUCUUCUAUGGUCUAGCACUGUAUUAUUAUUGUUAUUUUGAAGAUUAUCCUAGAGUUUCCAUUUUUGGAGGUGGCUGCUAUAAUGAGGGUAACUGGUGUGGAUAUUUCAGAAAGAUUUCACAAAUGAUGAAGCUAUAAUUAGCCACUUAGACUGGGCAGUAGCUUUUCCAAAUGCCAGGUGGUGGUGGGAAUCUCUAGUUAUCAUUCCUGCACCAUUGACAGAGAAACUGAGACCCAGAGAAUUCAAAGACCCACUCAAGUCCUUGGCGUGAGUGAGCAUUAGACAGCUCUGGAGCCCAGCACCCCAGCUGAAAUGACUGUCCUCAAAUAUGUUAACAGGAUUAGAAUGGGGGGUUCAGGGAGUUCCCAGGGGGCAUGGGUUAAGGAUGGGCUCAGCUCACUGCUGCAGCUCAGGUUUGAUCCCUGGCCCGGGAACUUCCACAUGUCACAAGUGUGGCCAAAAAUAAAUAAACACAUUUAUUAAUUCAAUAACAGAAUGGGCGUUCAUGCACAGCUCACCUGUGCCACAUUUUUCAGUGAGUGGCUUGCACACUACCAUUUGGUCCAAUGCGCUUGGCAGAUGCAAACACAAGGAAAAGGCUCCAGAAUGCAUGCUUUUUUUCUGGAAGUGGAAAGAGAAUGGGUGAGUGGAGGCAGCCCUUGGUACCUGGCUGCCUGGAGGGCAGAGAAGGUCCACAAAGGCUGGAGCAGCUGGUAUUUUCGCUGGAAGGCUGCUUCCAGGACAGCCCUGUGAUGCUUCCCAGCCACUCUUGUCUGCCUUUCCUGCCUUGUGAAUAUUAAAAGAAAAA